UACGAAGGGGGCUAGCGUUGUUCGGAUUUACUGGGCGUAAAGCGCACGUAGGCGGUUUGUUAAGUCAGGGGUGAAAUCCCAGAGCUCAACUCUGGAACUGCCUUUGAUACUGGCAAGCUAGAGUCCGGAAGAGGUAAGUGGAACUCCUAGUGUAGAGGUGGAAUUCGUAGAUAUUAGGAAGAACACCAGUGGCGAAGGCGGCUUACUGGUCCGGAACUGACGCUGAGGUGCGAAAGCGUGGGGAGCAAACAGG
Molecule: ribosomal RNA, 253 nt
Filed under: uncultured bacterium
Lineage: Bacteria
Description: partial 16S ribosomal RNA
Rfam family: Bacterial small subunit ribosomal RNA
Source: RNAcentral